UUUUUUUUUUUUUUUGGAAAUGUUCCUUUUUUAAAUGAAUGUACAUUUUAUCAUUUUUUCCAAACACUUUUUUUAUAUAUCACUCUAUAUCAUAGAGAAUGGAGAAAGAUUGUUCUAUCAGAUUCUAUAAAACCAGAGCUGAAUGAUUAAGUCUAAAGCCCAAAGUAGGUGUCCAAUAAACAUUUGUUACAAUAACUGAAAGUUCUGAUUCUGAAUCUGACUUCUACUAAUUAGCUAUUUGAAGUUUGAAAGUCAUAGUAAUAUGAUCGAAUAGAGUGGAGCACAAAAAGUGUGGGGAUUAUUGACUUCAUAAAACUCUGAAGUCCCAAAGUUUGCCUUCAGGUAUGUAAAAAAAAAAAAAAAAAGAAAAGUUACUAUUUGUAUUUCAAUGGUCAGGCAUGAAUCUUGUGGCUUCUCCUAGAUCUCAGAAGUGAGGUCAUCCUAUAUAAAGAUGUGCACUAAUUGUGAAAGAGUGAAAAUGCAAACAUUAUUUAUACUACAUGUACCUACUACAUAAUUUCACCUGAGAUAAAUUUAAUCUUUUAGUAUAUUUCAAUAAUGGAAUUUCACCAAUAUAACAAUUCUGCAAGGGGUGGCUAAAGUAUUUCCAAAGGUCAUCAGCGAUUUUGAAGACUAUUAUUAUAUUAUUAUUCUAGCCUUUCAAGUAUUUAAUUUUAUCAAAUUCAAAAGAGUAAUUUAUGUGGAGAAAGUAUUAUUACCAUAACUCCCCCCUGAAAUUAGGCCACAGUCACUAUUUGGGGAACAAGUUUAACAACACAGUUUUAAGAAUAUUUAUUUAAUUGAAAAGGAUAAUUCCAUCUGAAAAAUGACUUUCAUUUUCUAAAGAGUCUGAUCAGAUUUCCCUAAUAAAUGAAAUUGGUGCUAACAAAAUGAUGAUAGUACACUUCUAUUGUUUUCCCAGGACUAAGAGGAAUUUUUGUAUUAUUGUUGUAUAUAGUAACUUGUCCAAUCUCUUAUGAGUGGCUUAUAUGUGCAAGACAUCUGGCUUGCCAGGGUUAGAUAUGCAGUCUGUGAUCACUGCACAGAAAAAAAAUGCUAAUUGGCCCAUACAGGGCUCGAGCCCUGACAUCAGCCUUAUUAUGUGUAGAACCAAAUCAAUUGUGCUUACCAGCCAUAGACAUGAGGGAGUGUCAUUAAGUGUCCCAGAUUUCCUGACAUAGGCUUCUUCCCUACCGGGCCACAACAGUUUGGUGAUGACUCAUCUAAGAAGCAGCCAUGCAUAUCCCAGCUUCCUGAGGAAGGAACCAGAACAACAGACCAAACAAUCUUUAGAAGCUGAUAAGAUUUAAGUCAGCACCUUCUUCAUCAACAUCUCCCAGCCACCCCCCCAACCCCCACUGACUCUGUUUCCUUGGCACAAUGAUGUAUAAUAGUUACAUCAUUUCUCAGGAAAUAAAGUCCAGAGCCCAAUGUUCUCUAUAGAAUUAUGAUCAUUGCUAUUAUUUUUAUAAUUGGAAAUCUCAGUUGUUCUUUUGAAAAAAAUCUUCUCUUGAAGGAUGAUAAAUCCAGCUGGAUGCAUGUCUGGCUUCAAGCAUAUCAGGACUCAAAUCUCAAUUACUAGAUUUCAAGUUUACUUAUGGUAAUUUGAACAUAGUCUUAAUUUUUCACUUUUUCAUACUCUUUAGGUUGCAAAAGUGUAAGUACUUUUCCUUCAGCACCUAAUGAAUGUGGCCUAACCUCUCCAUCAUCACAGCUUUUGGUUUUUCCUUAUAUGAGAGAUUGUUUCUAGCCUUUGACCUAUAUGAUUAAAAUGCAUUUCAUGCAAUUUCAAAAUAUAGCAACUGACUAAAUACCUUACAAUAUUUACUUUUUUUUUUUUCAGUAAAUUGCCACCUUUAAUCCAUCCUGCAGUGCCCUAUGAAAGGGUCACAGAAAGACAGUUAUGACCAUAUGAAAAUAUGAUUCUUGAUACAGAAUCAAAAGUUAUUUUCAAUUUCCUUUGCUUUUAUAAAGUCCAAAUAACAAUACUUAAAUGCACUUUUUUUGUUUCCUAUGAUAUAAUUAAAACCCAGUGUUUUAUUUCAAUUGAACUUUAAAAUAGAGUCCCUGGUCUGAAUUAGACUUUAAAUCAUACUGUAAACAUAUAUUUGGUAUAAUUUAUUGAUCAUCAUCCAGUUGCUCCAAAAGGGUCCUUCUGUGCUUUUCCAAUUCCCCUUCAAUCAGUUCACUGCCAGAAGUAUCCCAAUUCCCAGAAUCCUUUCCAGUCUUUUUCUUAGGUGAUUUGUGUUUUGAUUCUGAUCUUUGUCUAGUUCUAUCUUUUUCACUUUCUCGGUCUUUUUCUUUUAUAUCCUUCUCUCGCUCAGCAUCUGACUCUGGAGAGUCAGAUUUAUGUCUCCUCUUCUUGCUUUUUUUCUUAUGCUUUUUUGACUUCUUUGACUAUAUUUGUAAAGGCUUUUUACCAUGGCUUUUCUGAUGCAUGAUGCCUAUAAUUAUAUUGAGAUCAGAUCAUCAUUUACUAAAUGUCUUUGAUAAUAAGCAUCAUGAUCAGAAUUCAUAGACUGAGCCUAUCUUUUUAAAAAUAAAUAUAUUAUUGUAUGAGUUUUGAUGCUAAAACUCCCUUUUUGUAUCUAUUAUUCUAUCAUUAUUAUCGGGUUCAAAUUUUCUGGAGAUUGAACCAAAGGUGCUGCCAUUAAGUGCCUGAUUUGAGCUGCAGAUAUUUGGAUAAAUAAAACUACAGAUAAUAGGGUUCAUGCUAAGAAGGGAGGAUGGAAAGAAGGGAAAAAGAAAGCAAAAAUCACUUAUACAUUUUUCAUGCACCUUUAAUAGUGUGAUUAUGCAUGCUAGUUCAAUCUAACCCUAAAAAACAAAAUUAGAACAUGAAAAGUACAGAAACUAUACCUAAUCUAAACCAGCUUUGUGAAAGCCAAUAGGAUAUGAAAACACAGCAGUAGGUAUUAAAUGAACAUUCGUUGAGAAACUCAGAUAAAAUGGCUGAGACAUUUCUAAAAUAGAUUUC
This 2977-nucleotide long non-coding RNA is filed under the name Canis lupus familiaris (dog). RNAcentral describes it as "lncRNA (ENSCAFG00845002707.1)". The record is from RNAcentral. Lineage: Eukaryota; Metazoa; Chordata; Mammalia; Carnivora; Canidae.